CGCGAGGUCGGAAACACAGGCAUUUCUGGGCCCUUUUCCGCCGGGUUGGAGUCGGGACAGUGAAUAAACUUAAUUGAGAAUGUCUGAAAACCUUGACAAAUCUCAUGUAAAUGAAGCAGGAAAAUCAAAUGAUUCUGAGCCAGGCCUGGAAGGUGCUCUGGAAUGUUCUGAUGAAGUUUUACAGAAACAAAUAAAUUCAGACUCUGCUAGUCCACGAAGAAUGCAAAGACCUCACUCCAGUCCUCCUCAGUUUGUGGCAGUAGAAGAACUCCUAGAGACAGCAAAAGGCAUCACCAACAUGGUUCUAGCUCAUGAAAUUGUAGUCAAUGGAGACUUUCAGCUUAAACCAGUGGAAUUACCAGAAAACAGCUUGCGGAAGAAAGUAAAAGAGAUUGUACAUAAAGCUUUUUGGGAUUGCUUGAGUGCCCAGCUAAGUGAAGACCCCCCAACGUAUGACCAUGCUAUCAAACUUGUAGGAGAAAUCAGAGAGAUUCUCUUAUCUUUCUUGCUGCCUGGUCACACUCGAUUGAGGAACCAGAUAACGGAAGUCUUGGAUCUGGAUCUGAUGAAGCAAGAAGCAGAAAAUGGAGCCCUAGACAUUUCCAAGCUGGCAGAAUUUAUUAUUGACAUGAUGGGGACACUGUGUGCACCUGCUCGAGAUGAGGAAGUUAACAAACUGAAGGACAUUAAGGAACUAGUGCCCCUGUUCAGGGCGAUUUUUUCUGUGUUGGACCUAAUGAAAAUGGACAUGGCCAAUUUUGCUAUCACUAGCAUCCGGCCCCACCUCAUGCAGCAGUCGGUUGAAUACGAGAGGAAGAAGUUCCAGGAGUUUUUGGAGAAACAGCCAAAUUCCCUAGACUUUGUUACCCAGUGGCUAGAAGAAGCCUCGGGUGACCUCAUGACUCAGAAGCACAAACAUGCCCUGCCGGCUGCAGGAGAGGCCGCUGGCUCUGGAGAUGCUCCCGCGCUGACUCCCGUGGUUGUCCAGAAUUACGCAUACCUGAAGCUUCUGAAAUGGGACCACCUUCGGAGGCCUUUCCCUGAGACUGUUUUGAUGGACCAGUGUCGCUUCCAAGAGCUCCAGCUUCAGCUGGAGCAACUAACCAUCCUGGGAGCUGUGUUGCUGGUCACGUUCAGCACGGUAGCCCCUGUGAUUUCCAGCCAGAAUGACUUUGCUGAGAAGCUCAAGAUGAUUGUGAAGAUUCUGCUAGCUGAUAUGCACCUGCCCUCCUUCCAUCUAGAGAACGCUCUCACUUCCACCGGGGAAAAAGUGUGUCUGGAGGUGAGCAGCCGCCUCUCCCAGUGCGGCUUCUCCCCAUUCUCCACGGACAAGGAGACUGUGCUCAAGGGCCAGAUUCUAGCUGUGGCCAGCCCUGAGGACCCCAUUCGCAGGAUCAUGGAGUCCCGAAUCAUCACCUUCCUGGAAACCUACCUUGCCUCUGGUCAGCAGAAGCCAUUGCCCACUGUGCCUGGGGGACUGAGUCCCAUUCAGAGAGAGCUGGAGGAAGUUGCUGUGAGGUUCGUUCGCCUGGUCAACUAUAACAAGAUGGUCUUCUGCCCCUACUAUGAUGCAAUCCUCAGUAAGCUCCUCCGCCCCUAACUGUGCGCUCCCUCCAGCAGCAGUAUUAGUCACUCUCCUCAGAAUACUUGUUCUCAGCUAUACCGUUGCUUUGGAAAAUGGCUACGUAGUACAUUGCUCUUUAACAGCACUGAUUCCAAUGGAAGGACUGUCUAUCACUGUUGAAAAGACUUGUUGAAGAAUGCACUGAAUUCUAUUUUGAGAGAUUGUAUUUAUGAGUGUCCAGAGGGAGGCUUUCUUCCUGUGUGGGAG
Dipodomys ordii (Ord's kangaroo rat) is the source of this 1831-nucleotide RNA transcript. It is a transcript of the gene named t-complex 11, testis-specific-like 1, with no coding region annotated. The record is from RefSeq and is a predicted model, not a curated record. The transcript has 11 exons. NCBI's taxonomy places the organism in Eukaryota, Metazoa, Chordata, Mammalia, Rodentia, Heteromyidae.